UACGGAGGGUGCAAGCGUUAUCCGGAAUCACUGGGCGUAAAGGGCACGUAGGCGGUUUGUUAAGUCUGAUGUUAAAGACUGGGGCUCAACCCCGGCAUGGCGUUGGAUACUGGCAGGCUUGACGGUUGGAGAGGCGAGUGGAAUUACCAGUGUAGCGGUGAAAUGCGUAGAUACUGGUAGGAACACCCAUUGCGAAGGCAGCUCGCUGGACAACACGUGACGCUGAGGCGCGAAAGUGUGGGGAGCAAACCGGAUUAGAUACCCGUGUA
This 269-nucleotide ribosomal RNA is filed under the name uncultured prokaryote. Its description in RNAcentral is "partial 16S ribosomal RNA". It matches the Rfam family "Bacterial small subunit ribosomal RNA", at positions 524 to 792 of the family's 1533-position model. The record is from RNAcentral.